RNAcentral lists this long non-coding RNA (7523 nucleotides) under Citrus sinensis (sweet orange). RNAcentral describes it as "long non-coding RNA (CSIN_LNC000513)". Lineage: Eukaryota; Viridiplantae; Streptophyta; Magnoliopsida; Sapindales; Rutaceae. The record is from RNAcentral.
UUCUUGUUUAUUAAAUUUUUCUCAUCCAUAUAUACAUUAAAGCUUGGGAAACUUGUUCAGGCUUAUGCUGGUACAGAAACGAAACAGCUGGUACAGAAACGGAACAGAGAUCCAUAUAGCUAAUACCAUUGAAAUCACUUUCAAGCUCAUGGAAAAAGACCACUGCUACUGCUAGGACUGUAACAACAGGCAAGCUCAGUGCGCACGUAUAUGGCAUUGGAGAAAAGUGAAGCCGCCUCAAAAAUCAAUCCUGUUGAGCCAUUAUUUAAACAGCUGCCAACAUAUUGCUGACCAAACCAAAUUCAUGACAUAAGAAGAUACUUUCCCAUGUUGACACUCUUCCAUCUCUCUCUGCUACCAAAAAGUCCCACCACAGACGAAAAACGAACAUAUUACCAUAUCCAAGGCAGCUGUAAACGUUUCCCUCUUUAUAACAUCCAUACCCGGCUGAUGCGCCAACGGUACAUUGCAUACGAAUCCAAUUGCAUAUUUUUAGUUGUAUUUUCAGAGCCGCUUUGGAAAACGAGGAGGGUGGUCGAGAUGGCGAGAGGGACUAGUGAGUUGAUUAUGUAUGGAGUAAACAUCUGCUUAUUGAAGAAGAAUGUGAAGAAAGAAUUGGAGGUCGAUUGAGAUGCACAGACGAUGGAAAAUGUUGAAACUGGAAGACAGAUGAGCCCAAUUGAAUAGAGAAAGCAAUCUGCUGCUCUGAUUAUGCCUAGGCUAAGAUAAGGUUUGGUGGCUUUAUUGUUUUGGUCUUUAGUUGGUCAAAUACAAUUUCCGAUUCUGCAUUGGGAUUUUUGCUUCUUUGUGAAACUUCAUGCAGUAGUAGAAAGGCAAGAGAAUUGGGAAGCCUGCAAGUUGCAUUACUGUUGCUAGCCAUUCGCUAUUUCCUCCUUCCCAAUAGAGCAGCCGCUGCGUGGCCUGACAGAACAAAGAAUGCGUGAAUGGCUAUUCGGAUCCGCACCCAAUAUAGUUUCUUGAUCCAUUUAGUACUGCUGGUUGAUAUUGAUUGGUCGGACUGCAUUGUUCUAUUAAGUUUGUUCUCCUUCAUCUCUUUCAACCGGCAAGAAUGCAGAUAAAAAUAUAAGUACUAUAGAUUAUAGAAUAAUCUAUUACUUUUUUUUUAUUAUUACAUGAGACUAUUGCUUAAGAAUACAACUUGUAUUACAUGAGAUUACAACUGAUAUUUACAAAUCAGACUAUUAUUGGAACUAGUUUACAUCGAGGACGCCUAGAUUUUUUACCUUCUCUAAUAUUCGAGGGACGUCUAUUCUACUCACAUUUCAAAAAAGAAAAGAUUGUUUUCACUCAAAUUUACUCUCACAAUACGUUAUGGGGGUUCGAACUCAUGACCUCACAACCUCUAGGCUUUUAGCCUAACAGAAUAAUCUAUUACUUAAAUUAGAAAAUUUGAUAUCUAAAUCAUUUGCAAGUAUGUAACCUUUCAACUUAUUAAUCCGCAAGUUAUCCGGUCCUGCUCUGUUUUUGAAGGUGCUAUUUUUCGGCUAAUGCCAGUGGUACUGCUAGGCAAAUAAGUACGUGGAUAUAUAUGAAUGCAUAAAAAUCGACAAUGAUCAAGAAUUUUGUUAUGAAGAAUAAAUUAAAGCAAACAAUAACAAAAACUCAUGACUAACCAAUGACUUGGAGUUGCAGUUCUUCAAAUUCUCCCGUAUGGUUAGUCUCUCAGAAAGAAGAUAUUAAGCCAAAAGGGGAGACAAGAAACAGAGAAAAAAUUUAUUCAAGAAUUAAUGGGCUUUGUGAGUUGUGAACCAUAUGUGGCUCUGACAAUAUUAUAUCCGGUUUGCAAAAAAAAAAACUUCGUGGAACGACCUUUAUUUAACUUCAUCAAAUCAAUUAUAUAUUUUGGGCCUGGCUAUAUUGGAGCUGCUCCACGAUAGAGUACUGUUGAUAAUUAUACGAUCAUAAACAUAAAAAUAAAAUCUGAACUUAGUGUCAGGGGUGAGCAAAUUUGGGUUCAGAACAACCCGAUCCGAUUAUGGGUUAAUCAUAUUGGAAAAAAUAUAACUCAAACAUGUGAUCCAAUUCGAUCCAAUCAGAUCCAAACAAAUUCGGAUCGAAUCGAAAAUUUACGCUUGUUUUUGCUUUGAUUUUUUCAUAUUUUCGGAUUAGAUCGGGUUUGAUUUUUUCAGAUUGACCCGAUCUGAGAUCGAGUUAGAGCCUUCAUCUGAAUCUAAUCCGAACCCAAAUUUUUCGGAUCUGAUCGGGUCGGGAUGGGUUAUUUGUCCACCCUUACUUAAUGUUAUGAUCUGACAAUCAUCAUCAGUGCUCUACUGUGGAGCAACUCCAUCAUAUCCAUUGCCAUAUAUUUUCAUUCAUACCUAAAUCUAAAUAUAAAUUAAAUAAUAUCCACAUGUGUUCUUACAUGUAGGACGGCCUAGAUCAACUUUUAUUUCGUAUAGUCUCUGCCCCCUAAUUAUAUAGUAUUACCAUCUAUUUGCCGAAAGUAUUAGAUUUAACGUUAAUACUGGACAGCACUAAUGGAGUGUUGUUGAAUGAAUAAUCUAAUCUCAACAAGGAUGAAUAUGUUAAAACAGCACAUUUGCAUGUCUUUAUCAAGCAAAUUGUGGAUUUCGAUUCGUAAAAAAUCAAUGUAACGUCCAUGUUCUGAUGAAAUCAUGAUGGAGUGUUUUUUUCAUUUAUGUUUUUGUACAGACGCGUAGGUGUCGACCUCAGUUAGUUGAAAUCAAUAAUGACUGUAUUGUGUCACAUGUGGUAAUUUUUUUAUUAAAUCGGAUGGAUGGAUAGAAUAGAAUAAGAUGCAAUGUGGAACGCGGAUAUCGGUUUGCAAUAUAAUUCGUCGUGCGAUUUUUUCAAUAUAGAUACAUGUGAUAGAAUUAGUGAUUCUUUUAACAAUGAAUUGAUCAUCUAGAGCUACUAUAUAUUAUUGCUACAUAAAUUUAAGUACAAUCUCUUGUUCCUCCAUAUACUUAAACACAUAUAGCAAGAGGAUUUUUGACGUUUUUCCAUGCAUAAUGUUGGUAGUUUAACUGAAUCACAUCAAUGAGUUUACGGAACGUGUGAAGUUAUUUUACAAUGUUUUUUGGAAAUUACCGAAAGCACUACCAAGCGCAAAACGUGUCCAUCUUAAUUCCUUUCUUUAAAAUUCACAGACGAAACAAUUCAUAACACAUUAAUAGUAUUUAUUAAUUUUAUUCCCAUUUUUUAAUCUUCUUUAAAUUUUUCUUGCUAUAAUCUCAUGUUUGAAUAUGAAUACUACUUAAUGAUAGUUAAAAAUGAAAAACUUCGCUAUGCGUCCGUUUUAAAUUGAAGUUGGACAUCUAUAUCUUUAAAACUACAGUACUAAAAUGUUUAGUAAACACUAAUUACUGUACUUUGGAAGCUAAAUUAACUUGAUUUUACACUUAUAUAAUAAAAAAAUUAUUAUAUAUUUACUAAUUUUAUUAAAAUUAUUAUUUAAAAAUUAUAUUUAUUAUAUACUAUUAAUGUUUAUUUUAUACUUACAAUUUUUUUUUUUUUCAAAACAACUAUAACAUUAAUACCAAAUAGGGGCUAUAACUACUCAAAUAAAAUGAAAUGCAUCCUAGACAAUAUGGUUCUAUGACUCAGAAAAAUCUUAGGAGAAGGGAAUUCUGUCAUGGAAGAGAAUAAGGUAUAAGAUGGGAAAGUGAAAGAUUGGAAACGGAAGACAAGAUUGCAAAACUCAACUAAUGCUGGAGAGAGAAAUUGAUAGAUUUAUUGUUAAUUAUUGAUAAUCCAUGUCAUCAUCCCCAUUUAAUCUCCACUGUAUAGAGAUGUAAAGGUUGAAAAGUUGUAUAAUUUUGUGCAAAAUUAAGUGGCCCAUCCAUUAGAUAAGAAGAAGACAAAUGAGAGAAUAAGGUUGUACUUAUCCAUUGCUAAUAGGAUUGAGCUUGAGCUAAAAUAAGAAGGAAUUAGAAUGGAUUGAAAUGAGAGUGUAAACUGGAAAUUAAAAUAAGUUAUUUACUUGAAUUAUAGGAAUUAAAAUUGAAAUGAACUCUAUUUUUAUUGAUGUGUUUAUUUAAGAAUUGAAAUAGAUUAUUUUAAAUCACUAAAAUAUCCUUAGUUAAUUAUUAUUAUUUAUUUUAAUAAUUGUGAUUAUUAUCAUUUAAAUAAAUACUUCUAACAUAAUAAUAAUAAUUUUAGCAUUAUUAUUAUUAUUAUUCUAAUGAUAACAUGUUGUUUGUUAAUUUAUAGACUCAAGAUUAUUGUUGUAUUAAUAAUGUAUUAUUAUUAUAUUAAUUUUUAUUGAAUAAUGAAUAUAUAAGAUAAAAUCAAACCAAACCAAACUGAAUCGAACUAAAUUAUAGUAUCAAACUGAACUGAAUAAAAUUAAUUUGGUUUGGUUCGGUUCGGUUCUAUAAUUUGGUGUGUAUUUGGUUCAUAAAUUCAUGAACCAUUUGGUUUUAGUUUGGUUCGGUUCUAGGGCUGAACCAAACCGAACUAAACUAAAUAGUGCCCACCCCUAGUUCAUGAUACAACAUAUUACAUAAUUUUAUACUAGUUUACGUCAACUUUUAUAUAGUACAAUGUAGAUUUAAUCAUUGAAUAUUAAUAUUCAAGAAACUUUGAAUAUUAAUAUUCAAGAAACUUUAACUUUCAUUUAAGAGAUAAUGAAAAAAAAUUAAAUUAAAUCUCCACAAUAUUUUUGGGGAGUUCGAACCACUUCCUUCACACCGCACUCCAACAUUUUAGAAAUCCUUAUCUAUAAUUAGAGGUGGCAAAAAUAUCCGUUCGGUCCGAACCCGAACAGCACUCAAGCGUUUUGGGUCAGGUAUGAAGCUGGGCCGGUUUUAAGCAUCACUUGAUAAACUCGAAACUCAAAUUUUAUUAAAAAAUAUUAUAAAAUAUAUAUUAUUUUAAAUAUUUAUAUUUAUUUGACUUAUUUAUUACAUAUAUAUAUAAAAUUUUAAAUACUUAAAAUUCAUAUUUUAAUGUUAAAUUUUAUUAAAAAUAUAUAAAAUUCGAAUACCUAAAUUAAAGCCUGACACAACUUAACUCGGACAUUUAUAGAUUCGGGUUAGGUCCCGUCAUUGCGAUACUCGACCCAGCUUGGGAUUUUGCCAACCCUUUCUAUAAUGACUUAUAUUUCUUUUGUACCGUCAUUAUCACUGUUAGAUGCACGAAGCCUAAUUAUGACCCUGACACUAAAGCACUUGCGGAUUGACCUUGGCAUUUUACUGUAUAUAUUAAGUAGACGUAACUCUCAGUCUCUCACAUUAAUGGUGAGUGGACCGACCACCAUGAAUGUGUGUGUAUGAUUUUCUUAUUUUACUUUAAUUUUAAUUUAUUGUUUUUAUUUUAAAGUCGUCCAUUUAUUUUGUGUGCAUCUAGUUGUUUCCAUUUAUCAUAAUUAUAGGAAGAAUAUUUUUAUUUUAAUUUUUCCUACUGUUAAUAUUGAGCAUUGUUAUUUUAUGCGCCUCUAGUUGUAUCCAAUUAUCAUAGAAAAUAUAUCAUAAAAAAUUAUCAUCGAAAAUGACAGUUAAUUCUAUUAUUUCAUUCUUACGCUCCCUUCUUAAUUAAAUUACUCCAAAGAGAAUUUUAAAACACAGAAUUAAGUCAUUUUCUAUUAUUAAUUUAUAACCCCUUUUUUUUAUAUAAUGCUCAGACGUGAAAAUAAAUAAAGUUAUAACCUCAUGAUUUCUUUUUUGUCAAAUUAUAACUCCACGAUUUCUUAAAUGUGCUAUUAUGGUGAAUGAAAAGUUUUUAGUACUCUUUAAAUAUUACUUCUUAAUUAUUCAUUAUUUAUCAUGCAUGUAUACAAAUUAUUAUGAUUAAUUAAAAUUAUACAUAAUAAAUAAUGAAUAGAAAAAAAAAAUAAUACUUUAGGAUUACCCAAAAUUUUUGGUCAUCAUGACCACUGACUAACUCUCUCUGGGCUUCAUGGUUGGAAACGGAUCCGGUGCUCAGCACAAGCUCAGCUGAGCACCGGAUCCUGGUCCUUCAUGGUUAGCUUUACGGACUUGCUUGGUCAGCUUUUAUUUUGUGCCGACGGUAGUUGACAGUCCGGCGACUGUUGUUUGACAAAAUUACAAAAGCAAAUGAUGGUGUCUCAAUCAUUUUUAUUUAUUUUUUAACAAAAAUUCGAAGUGAGCCGAACCGCGCGACGUGUGCAAGUUUUUCUCGUGAAGAGUUUGUUUUGGUUAGUCAUUACACACGUGUCACGGAGAAAAGUCAUUGACACUGAUCUUGGUUUUGAUUAUAUAUAUAUAUAUAAUGGCUAUAGAAAAGCCAAUUCCUUUCUUGUUUAUUAAAUUUUUCUCAUCCAUAUAUACAUUAAAGCUUGGGAAACUUGUUCAGGCUUAUGCUGGUACAGAAACGAAACAGCUGGUACAGAAACGGAACAGAGAUCCAUAUAGCUAAUACCAUUGAAAUCACUUUCAAGCUCAUGGAAAAAGACCACUGCUACUGCUAGGACUGUAACAACAGGCAAGCUCAGUGCGCACGUAUAUGGCAUUGGAGAAAAGUGAAGCCGCCUCAAAAAUCAAUCCUGUUGAGCCAUUAUUUAAACAGCUGCCAACAUAUUGCUGACCAAACCAAAUUCAUGACAUAAGAAGAUACUUUCCCAUGUUGACACUCUUCCAUCUCUCUCUGCUACCAAAAAGUCCCACCACAGACGAAAAACGAACAUAUUACCAUAUCCAAGGCAGCUGUAAACGUUUCCCUCUUUAUAACAUCCAUACCCGGCUGAUGCGCCAACGGUACAUUGCAUACGAAUCCAAUUGCAUAUUUUUAGUUGUAUUUUCAGAGCCGCUUUGGAAAACGAGGAGGGUGGUCGAGAUGGCGAGAGGGACUAGUGAGUUGAUUAUGUAUGGAGUAAACAUCUGCUUAUUGAAGAAGAAUGUGAAGAAAGAAUUGGAGGUCGAUUGAGAUGCACAGACGAUGGAAAAUGUUGAAACUGGAAGACAGAUGAGCCCAAUUGAAUAGAGAAAGCAAUCUGCUGCUCUGAUUAUGCCUAGGCUAAGAUAAGGUUUGGUGGCUUUAUUGUUUUGGUCUUUAGUUGGUCAAAUACAAUUUCCGAUUCUGCAUUGGGAUUUUUGCUUCUUUGUGAAACUUCAUGCAGUAGUAGAAAGGCAAGAGAAUUGGGAAGCCUGCAAGUUGCAUUACUGUUGCUAGCCAUUCGCUAUUUCCUCCUUCCCAAUAGAGCAGCCGCUGCGUGGCCUGACAGAACAAAGAAUGCGUGAAUGGCUAUUCGGAUCCGCACCCAAUAUAGUUUCUUGAUCCAUUUAGUACUGCUGGUUGAUAUUGAUUGGUCGGACUGCAUUGUUCUAUUAAGUUUGUUCUCCUUCAUCUCUUUCAACCGGCAAGAAUGCAGAUAAAAAUAUAAGUACUAUAGAUUAUAGAAUAAUCUAUUACUUUUUUUUUAUUAUUACAUGAGACUAUUGCUUAAGAAUACAACUUGUAUUACAUGAGAUUACAACUGAUAUUUACAAAUCAGACUAUUAUUGGAACUAGUUUACAUCGAGGACGCCUAGAUUUUUUACCUUCUCUAAUAUUCGAGGGACGUCUAUUCUACUCACAUUUCA